CAAGUCGAACGAGCGAGAGAGAGCUUGCUUUCUCAAGCGAGUGGCGAACGGGUGAGUAACGCGUGAGGAACCUGCCUCAAAGAGGGGGACAACAGUUGGAAACGACUGCUAAUACCGCAUAAGCCCACGACUCGGCAUCGGGUGGAGGGAAAGGGAGCAAUCCGCUUUGAGAUGGCCUCGCGUCCGAUUAGCUAGUUGGUGAGGUAAUGGCCCACCAAGGCGACGAUCGGUAGCCGGACUGAGAGGUUGAACGGCCACAUUGGGACUGAGACACGGCCCAGACUCCUACGGGAGGCAGCAGUGGGGAAUAUUGCACAAUGGGGGAAACCCUGAUGCAGCGACGCCGCGUGGAGGAAGAAGGUCUUCGGAUUGUAAACUCCUGUUGUUGAGGAAGAUAAUGACGGUACUCAACAAGGAAGUGACGGCUAACUACGUGCCAGCAGCCGCGGUAAAACGUAGGUCACAAGCGUUGUCCGGAAUUACUGGGUGUAAAGGGAGCGCAGGCGGGAAGACAAGUUGGAAGUGAAAUCCAUGGGCUCAACCCAUGAACUGCUUUCAAAACUGUUUUUCUUGAGUAGUGCAGAGGUAGGCGGAAUUCCCGGUGUAGCGGUGGAAUGCGUAGAUAUCGGGAGGAACACCAGUGGCGAAGGCGGCCUACUGGGCACCAACUGACGCUGAGGCUCGAAAGUGUGGGUAGCAAACAGGAUUAGAUACCCUGGUAGUCCACACUGUAAACGAUGAUUACUAGGUGUUGGAGGAUUGACCCCUUCAGUGCCGCAGUUAACACAAUAAGUAAUCCACCUGGGGAGUACGACCGCAAGGUUGAAACUCAAAGGAAUUGACGGGGGCCCGCACA
RNAcentral lists this ribosomal RNA (856 nucleotides) under uncultured bacterium. RNAcentral's name for it is "bacterial SSU rRNA". It matches the Rfam family "Bacterial small subunit ribosomal RNA", at positions 58 to 927 of the family's 1533-position model. The record is from RNAcentral.